RNAcentral lists this non-coding RNA (24 nucleotides) under Arabidopsis thaliana (thale cress). The record is from RNAcentral. Lineage: Eukaryota; Viridiplantae; Streptophyta; Magnoliopsida; Brassicales; Brassicaceae.
CACCAAGGUCCUUAUGGGAACUCU